This is a non-coding RNA of Pangasius djambal, 85 nucleotides long. The record is from the annotation of a GenBank genome assembly. Lineage: Eukaryota; Metazoa; Chordata; Actinopteri; Siluriformes; Pangasiidae.
ACCUCUCUAACCUAAUGGUUAGAGAGUCGGACUUGUAACCCUAAGGUGAACCUGAAGGUCGUGGGUUCGAGUCUCAGGUCUGGUA